Molecule: transfer RNA, 74 nt
Filed under: Bacteroidales bacterium
Lineage: Bacteria; Pseudomonadati; Bacteroidota; Bacteroidia; Bacteroidales
Description: tRNA-Pro
Rfam family: tRNA
About the family: Transfer RNA (tRNA) molecules are approximately 80 nucleotides in length.
Source: RNAcentral
CGGGGUGUAGCGCAGUUGGCUAGCGCGCCACGUUCGGGACGUGGAGGUCGUAAGUUCGAGUCUUAUCACCCCGA